GCAAGAUACAUUGUUGCAGAGACAGUAGUUGCCCCAUUCUCCCUGCCUGCCAUAACAAGUGCAAUGUCUCUACUAGCAGUUUUCCGAGCUUUGCUACCAAGACGUGCUAGAAUCUCUAGUUCUUCUGUAGUCAAGCCUAUGCAAGGUACGCCAUCCAGAAUAGCGAUAGUGGCAGGUACAGCACCAUUAUCCCUCACAAUGACCUCCAACUCCUUUGCUGUCUCGAAAUUCUGAGGAUACGGCAUUCCAUGAGAUAUGAUAGUGGAUUCCAAAGCAACAAUGGGGGUUCCAUGUUUUAAUGCUUCUGAAACCUCCGGAGAUAUCUUAAUCCACCCCAGAUU
This 341-nucleotide unclassified non-coding RNA is filed under the name Hevea brasiliensis (rubber tree). The record is from RNAcentral. Lineage: Eukaryota; Viridiplantae; Streptophyta; Magnoliopsida; Malpighiales; Euphorbiaceae.